CCAAAUUCUUGGGGGAAUUGGGCCCUGGAUGUUUUUCUGUACCUUGAACAGUGUUGCAUGGACUUGAUUGCUUACACAGUUAAUAAGUAUUGCAUGUCCUCACCAUCUGCCUGCCUGCUCAUUGCUCACUUGACAUUACCUCAAGCCCUAACGCAACAUUUUUCCUCUACAAAAAGCAAGUUUCUUGUUGGUGAAAUGCUGGCACUGGGAUUGAUUGACAUGCAGAAUCUUCUGGUAUUUUAGAGAUGCAUGACCCCUCUGGCAUCCAGUAAUGAAACCAGUCAUCUGUGUUUGAAUAAGGAGCACAUUCAAUUUCCAUGGAAAUGUCAAAGAAGGAUUAUGCAAGAGAAGCCAGAAUAGUGCAAUAAGAACAUAACAGAAAACAGCUGUAACUGCCAAUAAACAACAUCGCUGCCUGAAGAGUUGAGUAAAUAUGCUGCCAAAUGGGGAAAAUAAUCUUCUGGGUCGAUAUCGGAAUGACAUCCAACAGCAAAGAGAUAAAAUCAAAGAACACUCGAACUGGAAGGGUCCUGGAGAGGUCAUCAAGUCCAGUCUCCGGCCCCCAUGGCAGUACCAAGAAUGGGCUAUAUUAUCCAUGAUAAAUGUCCGUCUAAACUGCUCUUAAAUAUCUCCAGUGAUGGAGAUUCCA
Molecule: non-coding RNA, 649 nt
Organism: Pelodiscus sinensis (Chinese soft-shelled turtle)
Lineage: Eukaryota; Metazoa; Chordata; Testudines; Trionychidae
Source: RefSeq, a predicted model, not a curated record